Molecule: ribosomal RNA, 395 nt
Filed under: Cercozoa sp.
Lineage: Eukaryota; Cercozoa
Description: partial small subunit ribosomal RNA
Rfam family: Eukaryotic small subunit ribosomal RNA
Source: RNAcentral
AUUCCAGCUCAGUAGCGUAUAUUAAAGUUGUUGCAGUUAAAAAGCUCGUAGUUGGAUUUCUGACUUCAAACACCUGACCCUCCCUCGCUAGAGGUGUGUGUGCCGGAGUGUUUGUAUCAUCCUUUCAGUGAUCGGUUCUACCCUUAACCGGGUCGGAACUGUUAACUGGAUCUUUUACUUUGAAGAAAUUGGAGUGUUUAAAGCAGGCUUACGCCAGAACAUAUUAGCAUGGAAUAAUAAUUUAGGACUUUUGUUCUAUUUUGUUGGUUUCUAGGACGAAAGUAAUGAUUGAUAGGGAUAGUUGGGGGUGCUAGUAUUCGGCGGCCAGAGGUGAAAUUCUUUGAUCCGCUGAAGACUAACUUAUGCGAAAGCAUUCACCAAGGAUGUCUUCAUUA